This 568-nucleotide unclassified non-coding RNA is filed under the name Hevea brasiliensis (rubber tree). The record is from RNAcentral. Lineage: Eukaryota; Viridiplantae; Streptophyta; Magnoliopsida; Malpighiales; Euphorbiaceae.
GGAACCCUUGCCGCCUUCCAUUUUUGGCUCACCGGUUGCAUCUGAUCACCGGCCACCGCCACUGCCGCCGCCGCCAAUUUUCUCAGAUUCAGGUGUCACCAUGCCAACCGUUAGCGUUGGAAGAGACCGUCUGUUCGAAGCCCUUGGCCGUACUUACACUGAUGAAGAAUUCGAUGAAUUGUGCUUUCAGUUUGGUAUUGAGCUCGACGAUAUAACAACAGAAAAAGCAAUACAGAGAAAAGAGAAGCAUUUGGAGGAAGAGGGAGUGGAAGAUGAUGGAGAGACUAUAUACAAAAUUGAAGUUCCAGCAAACAGAUAUGAUUUGCUUUGUCUUGAAGGACUAGCGCAAGCUCUUCGAAUAUUUAAUGGGCUUGACCCGAUCCCAACAUAUAAGGUGGCGAAUAUUGGUAAAGAAUCUAUGCUUGAAAUGCGUGUGAAAACAGAGACAUCCAAGAUUCGUCCAUAUGUUGUAUGUGCUGUUUUAAGAGGUGUAACAUUUGAUGAGGCUAAGUACAAUAGCUUCAUUGAACUACAAGAUAGGCUGCAUCAAAACAUUUGCAGGCGAAGA